RNAcentral lists this ribosomal RNA (253 nucleotides) under uncultured bacterium. Its description in RNAcentral is "partial 16S ribosomal RNA". It matches the Rfam family "Bacterial small subunit ribosomal RNA", at positions 524 to 776 of the family's 1533-position model. The record is from RNAcentral.
UACGGAGGGUGCAAGCGUUAUCCGGAUUCACUGGGUUUAAAGGGUGCGUAGGUGGGAUGGUAAGUCAGUGGUGAAAUCUCCGAGCUUAACUCGUAAACUGCCUUUGAUACUAUCAUUCUUGAAUAUUGUGGAGGUUAGCGGAAUAUGUAGUGUAGCGGUGAAAUGCUUAGAUAUUACAUGGAAUACCCAUUGCGAAGGCAGGUUACUAACAAUGGAUUGACGCUGAUGGACGAAAGCGUGGGGAGCGAACAGG